Molecule: ribosomal RNA, 274 nt
Filed under: uncultured bacterium
Lineage: Bacteria
Description: partial 16S ribosomal RNA
Rfam family: Bacterial small subunit ribosomal RNA
Source: RNAcentral
AUACGGAGGGUGCAAGCGUUAUCCGGAAUCAUUGGGUUUAAAGGGUCCGCAGGCGGAUUAAUAAGUCAGUGGUGAAAUCCUCUCGCUCAACGAGAGAACUGCCAUUGAAACUGUUAGUCUUGAAUUCGGUCGAAGUAGGCGGAAUGUGUCAUGUAGCGGUGAAAUGCAUAGAUAUGACACAGAACGCCGAUAGCGAAGGCAGCUUACUAGACCUGGAUUGACGCUCAUGGACGAAAGCGUGGGGAGCGAACAGGAUUAGAUACCCUAGUAGUCC